Vespula vulgaris is the source of this 3174-nucleotide RNA transcript. It is a transcript of the gene named dynein axonemal assembly factor 5, with no coding region annotated. The transcript is spliced from 7 exons. The record is from RefSeq and is a predicted model, not a curated record. NCBI's taxonomy places the organism in Eukaryota, Metazoa, Arthropoda, Insecta, Hymenoptera, Vespidae.
UUAUUUUAAUGAUGUUAUUAAUUUUACAUUCUUAAAAAUUAUUAUGUAUUCUAGAUCCAAAAAUGAAUAAAUGUCUAUUAUUGAAUUAAGAUUUUGCGUUUAACAUAUAAUAGCGAUCUAAAGAAUCGAAUUAAUUUUACACAACAGACGAUAAAAUACAUAUGUAUCUGUCGAGAAAUCAGAAGUUCAAUAUGUAUGUCUGUAACCAUGGCAAUAACUGCUCUAUAUGAGAUUGUAUUUGUGUUCCUCAUUUGAUAUUUUUUCAAUCAUAGUUUAAAGGUGAAUUUUGACAAGAGUACCGAAUUAAAAACUAAUAAGGAUAUUAAAAAUAAAAGGAUAGCAUUAAAAGAAAUGUCAUUGGAAACUGAAGCUGGUAUAAAUAGAAUUUGCUUGUCAUUACAAGCUGAGAAUAAGGAAAGGAGAAAGCAUGCUUUAAAUGAAAUUAUAAAAACAAUAUUGGAAGGACAAGAAAUACUGGAUACUGAUGAUUUAUCACAAAUAUGGGAGAAUUUAAAUAGACCAUUGAUAAGAUUGUUAAAUGACCAAGCAGAAGUUUGUCGAGAUCGUGCUGUAGAAAUAUUAAAUAAGUUUUUGAAUUUGUUGCCUCCACAUGACAAGCAUAUUAUCUACGUGAUUCCGGUGUUGUCAAGACGUUUAAGUCCAGAAGAAUAUAUAGAACCGUCAGAAGAAGUAAGGCUAAAAUGUAUUGCUCUCUUAAAAGUCAUUAUUUUAAAAUAUAAAGACCAUAUAUCUGUAUACAUGGAUGAAAUAAUAGGAAUUCUUGCAAGAACUGUUAGGGAUAAUUAUCCUAAUGCUAAAAGAGAAAGUUGCGAGUGUAUAUCAGAAUUAGGAAAAAUUGUACCUAGGCAUUUUUAUACCUAUUCUGAAACUCUUAUAAAGCCAAUUUUAAGUAAUUUUAGUCAUCAACACUAUAGAGUCAGAGUAGCUUCUGUUAAAACAAUAGGCGAUGUGAUUCAAUAUGGUAAUAGCAAAUCUAUGGAAGAAGUUGCAACACCUUUAGCUGAAAGACUGUUCGAUCAAAGUGGAGUUGUUAGAGCAGCUGUUGUCGAAGUAGCAGGACAUUGGCUUGUUGAAUUAAGAGAUAGAUACAGCUGGUGGCACAAAAUUCUUCCACUUAUUUUAACGGGUCUUCAUGACGAAAUAGAAACAAUACGCAUUACAGCAGCAAAAAUGUGGGAUGAAGCAGGUCAAUUAUAUAUGAAAGAAAAUCAAAAUGAUGAAAAGUUUAAAGACAAAAUGGAUUUUCUUACAGAGGAACCAAAACAUUAUCCACCUAAUAUUACCAGACCAAACUUAGGAUGUCGUACUAUUGCUCAAGAAAAUUUAUGCAAACUUAUAAAUGGAAUAACACGUGAACUUUCUGAUUGGAUGGCUGAUAUAAGAGUUCGUUCUGCACAAUUACUUUGUGUCUUAAUACUUAACAUAGAACAAUAUGUAACUCAGCAUAUAGAAAAAUUGUUACCGGCGAUAUAUAGUGCUUGCAAUGAUGAAGAUAAAAGAGUUGUGGAUAAUAUAGAAAUUGCAGCAGAAUAUUUAGGAUACUUUGUACCUCCACAGAUCUAUUGCCAUUUAGCAUUGCCAACAUUGGAAAGUUCACCUACGGCAGGUCAUCUAAGAGCAUUUUCUGCUAUCAUAAGAUGUACUGAAAAAAGUAUUCUUCUACCUCAUAUAGAAAAAAUCAGCAAUUUUUUACAACAGUCACAUAUUUGUCGCAGCAAGAAAAGUAUCUAUCAGCAACAACUUUUAUCUUGCUGUAAUUCCAUUAUAACAGUAUGCAACGAGGAAUGUGUCCUUAUUUCUCAGAAUUUAUUUACUGUCAUAUUUACUAGUUUGGCUAUGAGUACCGAGAAGUUUAUUCACGAAGAAGCAGAUCGAUUAUUCGGUGUGCUUGCAACUAUAGAAUCGUUAAAAGAUACAGAAGAUGUAUUUCUCCAUCAUAUGAAAGUAAUGCUAAUGUCAAUUUGUGAUAACUGUGAUUCAUGGACAGCUCACAGUCCAGAACAUCAAAUAUUUCGAACAUGCUUAAUACGUGCUUCGACCGCUGCUGCUCAUUGUACGAGUAUUGUACUACCAAUACUACAGGAUAUUAUGAGCAAAAAUACAGACAUGGAGUUGAGAUUGUUAUAUUUAAUAUUACUAUCUGAAUAUUUGUUAUGCAACAAGCAGUCACUCCAAUGCAUUGUUGAUUUUCAUAAAUUUGUAAAUCAAAUUUUAGAAAUAUGCAUUAUCCCUAAUCUUAUUUGGUCAGCAGGUAGAAUAUCUGAAGCUUUGCGUACAGCUUCCAUUUCAUGUUUAUGUGCUCUUUUACAAAAUGACACUCUUUCCACACAUAUUAAGGAUUCUGUUACAAUUGCAAAGGAAGAAAUUAACAACGAAACGAACGAAUGUAAUAUCACAAUAUUUUCUACCGUAGAAAACUAUUUAUCUGUUUUCGAAAGAGUUAUUCCUAUUUUGAUUACGCUUGUUGAUGAUAAUGCAAGAAAAACUAGACUCUAUUCUUUGCGUGCUAUUUGUCUUAUGAUGUCAAUUGGACACAAGUUGUCCUGCAUAACAGAAGAUCAUAUUCAUAGAGUAUAUGCAGUUGUAUUGAAAAGAUUAGAUGAUGGUUGCGAUGAUAUAAGGUGGGCAGCUCUAGAGGCCCUUGUAGAAAUAUGGUCUACUAUUCCUAAAGAUUACAAUUUAAUGUCUUGUAAGAGUUAUAUUGAUGUCCUGUAUACAACAGUGUUGAUACACUUGGAUGAUCCAGAGUCAAAGUUUCAAGAUUUUGUAUUAGAUGUAUUGAUGCAGUUGGCAAAAAUUUAUCCUGAAUUGUUGGUUGAAAAGUUAAAAAAUUGUCAAACAAAUUUUAGAAAUCAAACUGGUAUACAAAUACUCUUAAACCAUUGUCAUGAAACGUUAAAAAAUAUUUACUAAAUAUAUAUUGAAAGUAUAAUACUGCUUAAAUUUUAUCAAGGAUUAACGUUUAAAAAAUAUAUGUGAUUUAUGCAUAAUAAUAAAAUCUGGCACUUCAGGGAAGAAAGAAACAUAACCUCUUUCUAAAAGACAACAGGAAGUACCCGCCCUCCUGUUGCCGCCAUGUUGUUCGUAUCUUCCGCUUGCCAAAGCCCAAAGCUCGCGAGAAGAGGGGCAGAACAAAUAAGAUUAAUAUUCGUG